AUGAAUUUUGAAAGGGGUUGUAGCUGGUCUUUUCCAAGACAUGUGCACGCCCUGCUCAUCCAUUCUACCCCUGUGCACACUCUGUAGGUCGGUUUUGAAGUGAUUCCUCACGGAAUUGCUCGGGCCUUCCUAUGUUUUCAUACAAACACUUUAAAGUCAAAGAAUGUAAUCGCGUGUAACGCAUUUAAUA
RNAcentral lists this unclassified non-coding RNA (190 nucleotides) under uncultured fungus. RNAcentral's name for it is "sequence contains ITS1, 5.8S rRNA gene". The record is from RNAcentral. Lineage: Eukaryota; Fungi.